GUGGGCUCAGAAUAUCCCAUUAGCUUAGGCUGAAUCUGCUAUAGAAGCCAACCCACUGUGCUCCUUAAAGUGUUACGGAAUUUAUUUAUUCAUUUCCCAGAAAGAAAAAAUAAUUUGCAGUCAGCAUUAAAUUAUCAUUAUUUCUUUGGGAAUUUUUUUAAGUCUUCCAAAGAGAAUAUAAGCACCACAACUUUGCCAGUACAGGAAGAACUUGAAAAAAAGGGAUGUUUCUUCUGUUAGACAUGUAUGGUUUUAUAAAUCUAUUUUACACACAUUUUUGGUCAGUAAAUUAGAUAAUGCAUUUGAAUAUCUCUGACUCCAAAAUAAGAGAAAUGAGUUUCUCUUUGUAUAGUGCUCCACAAACUGUAAGGUGUGACUCACAGUUUCUUUCAUGGGUUC
RNAcentral lists this long non-coding RNA (399 nucleotides) under Bos taurus (domestic cattle). Its description in RNAcentral is "long non-coding RNA NONBTAT020198". The record is from RNAcentral. Lineage: Eukaryota; Metazoa; Chordata; Mammalia; Artiodactyla; Bovidae.